This 461-nucleotide ribosomal RNA is filed under the name uncultured bacterium. Its description in RNAcentral is "partial 16S ribosomal RNA". It matches the Rfam family "Bacterial small subunit ribosomal RNA", at positions 33 to 507 of the family's 1533-position model. The record is from RNAcentral.
AUACACGCUGGCGGCGUGCUUAACACAUGCCCGUCGCACGAAGUUUUUCUUUCGGGAGGAACUUAGUGGCGGACGGGUGAGUAACGCGUGGGUAACCUGCCCUGUACAGGGGGACAACAGCUGGAAACGGCUGCUAAUACCGCAUAAGCCCUUAGCACUGCAUGGUGCAUAGGGAAAAGGAGCAAUCCGGUACAGGAUGGACCCGCGUCUGAUUAGCCAGUUGGCAGGGUAACGGCCUACCAAAGCGACGAUCAGUAGCCGAUCUGAGAGGAUGUACGGCCACAUUGGGACUGAGACACGGCCCAGACUCCUACGGGAGGCAGCAGUGGGGAAUAUUGCACAAUGGAGGAAACUCUGAUGCAGCGACGCCGCGUGAGUGAAGAAGUAUUUCGGUAUGUAAAGCUCUAUCAGCAGGAAAGAAAAUGACGGUACCUGACGAAGAAGCACCGGCUAAAUACGUG